Molecule: unclassified non-coding RNA, 376 nt
Filed under: soil metagenome
Description: partial contains 5.8S ribosomal RNA, internal transcribed spacer 2, and large subunit ribosomal RNA
Rfam family: 5.8S ribosomal RNA (bases 1-120)
Source: RNAcentral
GAUGAAGAACGCAGUGAAAUGCGAUAAGUAAUGUGAAUUGCAGAAUUCAGUGAAUCAUCGAAUCUUUGAACGCAUCUUGCGCUCCUUGGUAUUCUGAGGAGCAUGCCUGUUUGAGUGUCAUUAAAUUCUCAACUACACUGACUUUGAAUCGGUGUGGCUUGGAUUUGGGGGGAAAAUUGUUGUGGGCUUUUUGUAUAGUCUGCUCCCCUGAAAUUGAUUAGCGGUACCUUUGUGGAACUGUCUACAGGUGUGAUAAUUAUCUACAUCUUAGACAUCUGCUGGAAUGCUGCUUUCUAAACCUUACUUGUAUUGACAAUCUUGACCUCAAAUCAGGUAGGACUACCCGCUGAACUUAAGCAUAUCAAUAAGCGGAGGA